UGGUUUGUAGUUGUCUUGCAUUGCUGUGUC
This 30-nucleotide non-coding RNA is filed under the name Mus musculus (house mouse). The record is from RNAcentral. Lineage: Eukaryota; Metazoa; Chordata; Mammalia; Rodentia; Muridae.